CCUACGGGUGGCUGCAGUGGGGAAUAUUGGACAAUGGGGGGAACCCUGAUCCAGCCAUGCCGCGUGUGUGAAGGAGGCCCUCGGGUUGUAAAGCACUUUCAGUGAGGAAGAACGCCUGGUGGUUAAUACCCAUCAGGAAAGACAUCACUCACAGAAGAAGCACCGGCUAACUCCGUGCCAGCAGCCGCGGUAAUACGGAGGGUGCGAGCGUUAAUCGGAAUUACUGGGCGUAAAGCGCGCGUAGGUGGCUUGAUAAGCCGGUUGUGAAAGCCCCGGGCUCAACCUGGGAACGGCAUCCGGAACUGUCAAGCUAGAGUGCAGGAGAGGAAGGUAGAAUUCCCGGUGUAGCGGUGAAAUGCGUAGAGAUCGGGAGGAAUACCAGUGGCGAAGGCGGCCUUCUGGACUGACACUGACACUGAGGUGCGAAAGCGUGGGUAGCAAACAGGAUUAGAUACCCCGGUAGUC
Molecule: ribosomal RNA, 465 nt
Filed under: Vreelandella stevensii
Lineage: Bacteria; Pseudomonadati; Pseudomonadota; Gammaproteobacteria; Oceanospirillales; Halomonadaceae
Description: partial 16S ribosomal RNA
Rfam family: Bacterial small subunit ribosomal RNA
Source: RNAcentral